Molecule: transfer RNA, 87 nt
Filed under: Ferrimonas sp.
Lineage: Bacteria; Pseudomonadati; Pseudomonadota; Gammaproteobacteria; Alteromonadales; Ferrimonadaceae
Also listed under: 1 other name
Description: tRNA-Leu
Rfam family: tRNA
About the family: Transfer RNA (tRNA) molecules are approximately 80 nucleotides in length. Their secondary structure includes four short double-helical elements and three loops (D, anti-codon, and T loops). Further hydrogen bonds mediate the characteristic L-shaped molecular structure. tRNAs have two regions of fundamental functional importance: the anti-codon, which is responsible for specific mRNA codon recognition, and the 3' end, to which the tRNAs corresponding amino acid is attached (by aminoacyl-tRNA synthetases). tRNAs cope with the degeneracy of the genetic code in two manners: having more than one tRNA (with a specific anti-codon) for a particular amino acid; and 'wobble' base-pairing, i.e. permitting non-standard base-pairing at the 3rd anti-codon position.
Source: RNAcentral
GCAGAUGUGGCGGAAUUGGUAGACGCGCUAGCUUCAGGUGCUAGUGUUCGAAAGGACGUGGGAGUUCAAGUCUCCCCAUCUGCACCA